Molecule: long non-coding RNA, 644 nt
Organism: Papaver somniferum (opium poppy)
Lineage: Eukaryota; Viridiplantae; Streptophyta; Magnoliopsida; Ranunculales; Papaveraceae
Exons: 3
Source: RefSeq, a predicted model, not a curated record
CACUCUUCCAAAUCUGUAACGGGAGGUGAACCCUAACAGGAGAUUUUCUGUUAUUAAUUUCUUAUCUUAAUUUUGCAAUUAAACCAUUGAAAAACGAUAAAUUUUAAUUGAUUUUUCCUGCACACCAGUAUCAAUAGAGCAUCAAUUCAACCCCUUCAACAGCGAACGACAUCAUAUUAACAAUAAUUGCGCAAAUCAUAUGGAUCUUCAAAGUUAUCAGAAAAUAAGAAAUUGGAAUUUUGAUAAGAGAAGCACCGGGAAACCUCUACUUCAGUUGCAGAAACCGAGCACUACACCACCUUUACCGAUAGAGAUGGUGAAACUGGGAGAAAUUGAGAACAAACAUUACAGUUGUACUUAGUAUGUUACUGGCAGUUGUGCAAUUAUACUCAAUCUCUUGCUGCUCUUUUUGUCUUUUGCCAGUGGAAAUUAUUUUGAGAGAAAUCAUUAGGUUUACUUUUUAGUUUAAUAGGUCAGUGGCCUUGAAUCGCAGUUUAUGAUCAGCCACGUUAUAAUAUCAGUGAAGGUAAAACAUGUGUAGUGAUUAUGUAAAUUCUAUUCAUGUUUAGAUGUUUAAAACCUAAAUCAAGUUUGUUUGUCUAAAAUUAGACUACGACACUAAUAACGUUUACUGGAUGAUACCA